RNAcentral lists this ribosomal RNA (253 nucleotides) under uncultured bacterium. RNAcentral's name for it is "partial 16S ribosomal RNA". It matches the Rfam family "Bacterial small subunit ribosomal RNA", at positions 524 to 776 of the family's 1533-position model. The record is from RNAcentral.
UACAGAGGUCUCAAGCGUUGUUCGGAUUCAUUGGGCGUAAAGGGCGCGUAGGCGGCGGGGUAAGUCGGGUGUGAAAUCUCAGAGCUCAACUCUGAAAUGGCACUUGAUACUGCUCUGCUAGAGGACUGGAGAGGAGAUUGGAAUUCACGGUGUAGCAGUGAAAUGCGUAGAUAUCGUGAGGAAGACCGGUGGCGAAGGCGGAUCUCUGGACAGCUCCUGACGCUGAGGCGCGAAGGCCAGGGGAGCAAACGGG